RNAcentral lists this ribosomal RNA (433 nucleotides) under uncultured bacterium. Its description in RNAcentral is "partial 16S ribosomal RNA". It matches the Rfam family "Bacterial small subunit ribosomal RNA", at positions 29 to 507 of the family's 1533-position model. The record is from RNAcentral.
AACGAACGCUGGCGGCAUGCCUAACACAUGCAAGUCGAACGAGACCUUCGGGUCUAGUGGCGCACGGGUGCGUAACGCGUGGGAACCUGCCCUUAGGUUCGGACUAACUCCCCGAAAGGGGUGAUAAUACCGGAUAAUGUCUUCGGACCAAAGAUUUAUCGCCUUUGGAUGGGCCAGCGUUGGAUUAGCUAGUUGGUAGGGUAAAAGCCUACCAAGGCGACGAUCCAUAGCUGGUCUGAGAGGAUGAUCAGCCACACUGGGACUGCGACACGGCCCAGACUCCUACGGGAGGCAGCAGUGGGGAAUAUUGGACAAUGGGCGAGAGCCUGAUCCAGCAAUGCCGCGUGAGUGAUGAAGGCCUUAGGGUUGUAAAGCUCUUUUACCCGGGAUGAUAAUGACAGUACCGGGAGAAUAAGCUCCGGCUAACUCCGUG